GACGAACGCUGGCGGCGUGCUUAACACAUGCAAGUCGAACGGAAAGGCCCUGCUUGCCGGGUACUCGAGUGGCGAACGGGUGAGUAACACGUGGGUGAUCUGCCCUGCACUUCGGGAUAAGCCUGGGAAACUGGGUCUAAUACCGGAUAGGAGCCAUUUUUAGUGUGAUGGUUGGAAAGUUUUUUCGGUGUAGGAUGAGCUCGCGGCCUAUCAGCUUGUUGGUGGGGUAAUGGCCUACCAAGGCGGCGACGGGUAGCCGGCCUGAGAGGGUGGACGGCCACAUUGGGACUGAGAUACGGCCCAGACGCCGACGGGAGGCAGCAGUGGGGAAUAUUGCACAAUGGGCGCAAGCCUGAUGCAGCGACGCCGCGUGGGGGAUGACGGCCUUCGGGUUGUAAACUCCUUUCGCUAGGGACGAAGCUUUUUGUGACGGUACCUAGAUAAGAAGCACCGGGUAACUACGUG
RNAcentral lists this ribosomal RNA (465 nucleotides) under uncultured bacterium. RNAcentral's name for it is "partial 16S ribosomal RNA". It matches the Rfam family "Bacterial small subunit ribosomal RNA", at positions 28 to 507 of the family's 1533-position model. The record is from RNAcentral.